Molecule: small nuclear RNA, 138 nt
Filed under: Carlito syrichta (Philippine tarsier)
Lineage: Eukaryota; Metazoa; Chordata; Mammalia; Primates; Tarsiidae
Description: U2 spliceosomal RNA (ENSTSYG00000031180.1)
Rfam family: U2 spliceosomal RNA
About the family: U2 is a small nuclear RNA (snRNA) component of the spliceosome (involved in pre-mRNA splicing). Complementary binding between U2 snRNA (in an area lying towards the 5' end but 3' to hairpin I) and the branchpoint sequence (BPS) of the intron results the bulging out of an unpaired adenosine, on the BPS, which initiates a nucleophilic attack at the intronic 5' splice site, thus starting the first of two transesterification reactions that mediate splicing.
Source: RNAcentral
UAUCAGUUUAAUAUCUGAUAAGUCCUCUAUCUGAGGACAAUAUUUUAAAUGGAGUUUUGGAAUUAGGAGAUGGAAUAGGAGCUUGCUCUGUCCACUCCACACAUCGACCUGGUAUUGCAGGACUUCCAGGAAUGGUGU